RNAcentral lists this ribosomal RNA (388 nucleotides) under uncultured eukaryote. Its description in RNAcentral is "partial 18S ribosomal RNA". It matches the Rfam family "Eukaryotic small subunit ribosomal RNA", at positions 592 to 976 of the family's 1831-position model. The record is from RNAcentral.
CAAUAGCGUAUAUUAAAGUUGUUGCAGUUAAAAAGCUCGUAGUUGGAUUUCUGAUCGAGACAUCAGGUCGGGUCCGAGAGGAUCAUGUACUUUGAUUUUGUUUUGAUCAUCCUUGGGGAGAGCAUUUCUGGCAUUCAGUUGUCGGGAUUGGGAUCCUCAUCGUUUACUGUGAAAAAAUUAGAGUGUUCAAAGCAGGCCUCGGCCUCCGAAUACAUUAGCAUGGAAUAAUAAGAUAGGACUUUGGUGGUCUAUUUUGUUGGUUUGCACGCCAAAGUAAUGAUUAAUAGGGAUAGUUGGGGGUAUUCGUAUUCAAUUGUCAGAGGUGAAAUUCUUGGAUUUAUGGAAGACGAACUACUGCGAAAGCAUUUACCAAGGAUGUUUUCAUUAA